UACGGAGGGGGCUAGCGUUGUUCGGAAUUACUGGGCGUAAAGCGCACGUAGGCGGCUUUGUAAGUUAGAGGUGAAAGCCCAGGGCUUAACCCUGGAAUUGCCUUUAAGACUGCAUCGCUAGAAUUGUGGAGAGGUAAGUGGAAUUCUCGGUGUAGAGGUGAAAUUCGUAGAUAUCGAGAGGAACACCGGUGGCGAAGGCGGCCAACUGGACGAAUACUGACGCUGAAGACUCGAAAAGCGUGGGGGAGCAAACAGG
RNAcentral lists this ribosomal RNA (256 nucleotides) under uncultured bacterium. RNAcentral describes it as "partial 16S ribosomal RNA". It matches the Rfam family "Bacterial small subunit ribosomal RNA", at positions 524 to 776 of the family's 1533-position model. The record is from RNAcentral.